AACGUAGGAGGCGAGCGUUAUCCGGAUUCACUGGGCGUAAAGCGCAUGUAGGUGGCACGUUAAGUUGCAGGUGAAAGCCCCCGGCUCAACUGGGGGAGGACCUGCGAGACUGGCGGGCUCGAGGGCAGGAGAGGAAAGUGGAAUUCCCGGUGUAGCGGUGGAAUGCGUAGAGAUCGGGAGGAACACUCGUGGCGAAGGCGGCUUUCUGGUCUGCUCCUGACACUGAGAUGCGAAAGCGUGGGUAGCAAACGGG
This 253-nucleotide ribosomal RNA is filed under the name uncultured bacterium. RNAcentral's name for it is "partial 16S ribosomal RNA". It matches the Rfam family "Bacterial small subunit ribosomal RNA", at positions 524 to 776 of the family's 1533-position model. The record is from RNAcentral.